AUUGAACGCUGGCGGCAGGCCUAACACAUGCAAGUCGAACGGUAACAGGAAACAGCUUGCUGUUUCGCUGACGAGUGGCGGACGGGUGAGUAAUGUCUGGGAAACUGCCUGAUGGAGGGGGAUAACUACUGGAAACGGUAGCUAAUACCGCAUAACGUCGCAAGACCAAAGAGGGGGACCUUCGGGCCUCUUGCCAUCGGAUGUGCCCAGAUGGGAUUAGCUAGUAGGUGGGGUAACGGCUCACCUAGGCGACGAUCCCUAGCUGGUCUGAGAGGAUGACCAGCCACACUGGAACUGAGACACGGUCCAGACUCCUACGGGAGGCAGCAGUGGGGAAUAUUGCACAAUGGGCGCAAGCCUGAUGCAGCCAUGCCGCGUGUAUGAAGAAGGCCUUCGGGUUGUAAAGUACUUUCAGCGGGGAGGAAGGGAGUAAAGUUAAUACCUUUGCUCAUUGACGUUACCCGCGGAAGAAGCACCGGCUAACUCCGUG
Molecule: ribosomal RNA, 490 nt
Filed under: uncultured bacterium
Lineage: Bacteria
Description: partial 16S ribosomal RNA
Rfam family: Bacterial small subunit ribosomal RNA
Source: RNAcentral